GACGAACGCUGGCGGCGUGCUUAACACAUGCAUGUCGAACGAUGAAGAAGAGAAACGCGAACUUCGGUUCAAAUUUCACUUCGGAUUAGUGGCAGACGGGUGAGUAACGCGUGAGCAACCUACCUCUUACAAAGGGAUAGCCUCGGGAAACCGUGAUUAAUACCAUAUGACACAUUCAUAAGGCAUCUUAAGAAUGUUAAAGCUACGGCGGUAAGAGAUGGGCUCGCGUCCCAUUAGCUAGUUGGUGAGGUAACGGCCCACCAAGGCGACGAUGGGUAACCGGCCUGAGAGGGUGAACGGUCACAUUGGAACUGAGACACGGUCCAAACUCCUACGGGAGGCAGCAGUGGGGAAUAUUGCACAAUGGAGGGAACUCUGAUGCAGCGACGCCGCGUGAGCGAUGAAGGAAUUCGUUUCGUAAAGCUCUGUUCUAUGGGAAGAAAAGGACUGUACCAUAGGAGAAAGCCCCGGCUAAAUACGUG
RNAcentral lists this ribosomal RNA (482 nucleotides) under uncultured bacterium. Its description in RNAcentral is "partial 16S ribosomal RNA". It matches the Rfam family "Bacterial small subunit ribosomal RNA", at positions 28 to 507 of the family's 1533-position model. The record is from RNAcentral.